Long non-coding RNA from Ipomoea nil (Japanese morning glory), 325 nucleotides. RefSeq lists it as uncharacterized. The transcript has 4 exons. NCBI's taxonomy places the organism in Eukaryota, Viridiplantae, Streptophyta, Magnoliopsida, Solanales, Convolvulaceae. The record is from RefSeq and is a predicted model, not a curated record.
AGCAUGGAGACGUGGAAUUGUACGGCUAAUGCUGGAAAUAGUUGCUUCAGCGUUGCACCUACUGAAACUAGUGCUACCAUGACUUGGAAGAAAUUAUAUUUUCAGUUAAGAGCUAUCCUGCGAACACAACCGCCUGACCAAUCUGCCCUAAGCCAAUCCUCGGGAUGUCUGGGCUCAAACUUGUCCAGACAUCCACAUACUGGGGAAGUUUGUAUGUCGCAGCUGCCAUAUGCACCGCACAGCUUAAGGGACUGUGUCUCGAGUUUGGUGAUCCAGUAAAACGCAAACCAUUCCACAGCCCUGAUCUGUACUGCAGGACUGACCU